AGUGAACGCUGGCGGCAGGCCUAAUACAUGCAAGUCGAACGGCAGCACAGUGGAGCUUGCUCCAUGGGUGGCGAGUGGCGGACGGGUGAGGAAUACAUGGGAAUCUGCCCAGUCGUGGGGAUAACGUAGGGAAACUUACGCUAAUACCGCAUGCGCCCUUCGGGGGAAAGCCGGGGACCGUAAGGCCUGGCGCGAUUGGAUGAGCCCAUGUCGGAUUAGCUAGUUGGCGGGUAAAGCCCACCAAGGCGACGAUCCGUAGCUGGGUCUGAGAGGAUGAUCAGCCACACUGGAACUGAGACACGGUCCAGACUCCUACGGGAGGCAGCAGUAGGGAAUAUUGGACAAUGGGCGCAAGCCUGAUCAGCCAUGCCGCGUGAGUGAAGAAGGCCC
This 390-nucleotide ribosomal RNA is filed under the name uncultured bacterium. RNAcentral's name for it is "bacterial SSU rRNA". It matches the Rfam family "Bacterial small subunit ribosomal RNA", at positions 29 to 417 of the family's 1533-position model. The record is from RNAcentral.